UGGGGAAUAUUGGACAAUGGGCGAAAGCCUGAUCCAGCAAUGCCGCGUGAGUGAUGAAGGCCUUAGGGUUGUAAAGCUCUUUUACCAGGGAUGAUAAUGACAGUACCUGGAGAAUAAGCUCCGGCUAACUCCGUGCCAGCAGCCGCGGUAAUACGGAGGGAGCUAGCGUUGUUCGGAAUUACUGGGCGUAAAGCGUACGUAGGCGGUGACUCAAGUCAGAGGUGAAAGCCUGGAGCUCAACUCCAGAACUGCCUUUGAAACUAGGUCGCUAGAAUCACGGAGAGGUGAGUGGAAUUCCGAGUGUAGAGGUGAAAUUCGUAGAUAUUCGGAAGAACACCAGUGGCGAAGGCGGCUCACUGGACGUGUAUUGACGCUGAGGUACGAAAGCGUGGGGAGCAAACAGGAUUAGAUACCCAGGUAGUCCCUGAGCGGGCUGGCAAGGCGCAU
This 447-nucleotide ribosomal RNA is filed under the name uncultured bacterium. RNAcentral describes it as "bacterial SSU rRNA". It matches the Rfam family "Bacterial small subunit ribosomal RNA", at positions 355 to 825 of the family's 1533-position model. The record is from RNAcentral.